UACGGAGGGGCUAGCGUUGUUCGGAAUUACUGGGCGUAAGGCGCACGUAGGCGGCUUUGUAAGUUAGAGGUGAAAGCCCGGGGCUCAACUCCGGAAUUGCCUUUAAGACUGCAUCGCUAGAAUUGUGGAGAGGUAAGUGGAAUUCCGAGUGUAGAGGUGAAAUUCGUAGAUAUUCGGAAGAACACCAGUGGCGAAGGCGACUUACUGGACACAUAUUGACGCUGAGGUGCGAAAGCGUGGGGAGCAAACAGGG
Molecule: ribosomal RNA, 253 nt
Filed under: uncultured bacterium
Lineage: Bacteria
Description: partial 16S ribosomal RNA
Rfam family: Bacterial small subunit ribosomal RNA
Source: RNAcentral